Molecule: ribosomal RNA, 495 nt
Filed under: uncultured bacterium
Lineage: Bacteria
Description: partial 16S ribosomal RNA
Rfam family: Bacterial small subunit ribosomal RNA
Source: RNAcentral
GAUGAACGCUGGCGGCGUGCCUAAUACAUGCAAGUCGAGCGAACAGACGAGGAGCUUGCUCCUCUGACGUUAGCGGCGGACGGGUGAGUAACACGUGGAUAACCUACCUAUAAGACUGGGAUAACUUCGGGAAACCGGAGCUAAUACCGGAUAAUAUAUUGAACCGCAUGGUUCAAUAGUGAAAGACGGUUUUGCUGUCACUUAUAGAUGGAUCCGCGCCGCAUUAGCUAGUUGGUAAGGUAACGGCUUACCAAGGCAACGAUGCGUAGCCGACCUGAGAGGGAGAGGCGCCACCACGAGACCGCAACCCGGGCCAGGACCCCACGGGGGGGAAGAGUGGGAAAUUUUCCGACAGGGGCGAAAGGCAAGCAGGGCAACCCCGCGUGAGAGAAAAAGGUUUGGGGAUUGGAAAACUCUUUUUAUGGAGAAAAAAAAAUGUGUAAGUAACUAUGCGCCUUUUGGCGGUACCAUAACAAAAAACCCGGGCAAAACACG